CUCUCCCUCUCUCUCUCUCUCUCUCUCUCUGUGUGAUAGUCGUAGCCGUCACUGCUUCCUAUAUCUCUCUCCUGUUCACUCCCUAAUCCUUUCCUUUUUCUUUGUGAAACCGAGCCCCUCUAAGGUAUUGAUGGUAAAGUUUCAAUUUAGUUCUUAUUUCUUUGUUUUAUUUCGAUUCUUUGUUUGCCAUUCUAAUUUCUAUACUUCCGGCAUAUCUUGACGGACCAUGAAACGCAGCUUCCCAACGAAGUUGAGAGUGGGGGCUAGUUUAGUUUUCACUUAUUUGUUUCUUUUCUUUUUAAUUUUAUCUAUUUCCUGGGUAAUUGUUGAUGGACAUAUUGCUAGAAGGUUGAGUUACUUCGUCUAAUUCAAAAGCCUAACUAGGGUGAACUUCAAUAUUGAGCUGUUUUAACAAAGAGGAUUGAACCCAAAGGAUUUCAUUUUCCUCUCUAGAUUGUCCUUCUGCAGGUGAUUGAGGUCAGCUAUUUUCUUCCACCCAACAGCCACAAUAGCCUCUGGUGUACUUGUGCGUGCGUUGGCGUGCGUGUGGUAUGGUAUUGGAUAUGGACAGGACGGGUAAACACGGCUUGAGAGACACUCGCUGGGACCCGGUCAUUUAUGGAUAAGUCGGAGUAGACACGGCUUGAGAAACACUCGCUGGAACCCCGCAUUUGGUUUAUUAAGUGAAAGUCUAACUUGAAAGACACUCGCUGGCAGAGGUUAGAUUAAGAGAGCUGUAUAGGAGAUCAGCUCCCAUUUAUGUACUGUUUGAACAGUGUUGGGUGUGUGAGUGCUCCAAAUUGCCUUUUUGCUGUUAUGAUAUGAUGUGUAUAAAAAUUUUGAUAGUGUUGCAUUCCACUCUUUAGGAUGCAUUAGCUUUAGAUAGCUAUAGAAAUUGUACUUAAAAUUGGUAUUUUACUCUCUGAGUCGAACGCUCACUCCUGUUCACCAUAUUUUUUCAGACUA
This is a long non-coding RNA of Hevea brasiliensis (rubber tree), 966 nucleotides long. RefSeq lists it as uncharacterized. Lineage: Eukaryota; Viridiplantae; Streptophyta; Magnoliopsida; Malpighiales; Euphorbiaceae. The transcript is spliced from 3 exons. The record is from RefSeq and is a predicted model, not a curated record.